UUUACAAAUACAUCAUUUAAUAAAAUAAAUAAUUAAAAACUGAAAAUUCAUAUCCGCGCGGAUCGGGAUCUAGUUCUAUUUAAUAACGCAAGCCAUUUGUGUUGAAAUUUUGUUAAUGGGCUUGUCGAUUAGUUUUGGUAUAUGACGUGAUAGGCUUUGUCUUAAUAUUAAUGAAUGUGUGUGUAUUUUUAAAAAUAGCGGCAGAGAUUGUAAAUAUAUAGAUUAAGUGAGAGUUAUUUUCUAUUUGUACUUCAUUUUUAAUAAGACAGAUAGAUAUAUAGAAAACAUCUUACCUAUUAAAACAUUAUAUAAAUUAUAUAUAUGGGCCUAAAAAGGAUAUAAGUCAAAUGAGUUAGACUCUAAUCUUUCAAUUAUCUUAAGGCAAAACUAAAAAGGUAAUAUAAUAGGUGGUCGAUUAAUUGUGGGGUUUACUCACUAAAUAUUCAUUUAAACGUGAUCCUAUUUAUUGGUGGUCGAUUAAUUGUAGUGUUUAUUCACAUAAUAUUCAUCUAAACAAUUGCAAUCUAAAUUUUUUGCUCACAGAAUAUUGCAAAUCUUAAAUCAAUUGCUAUAGGGUGUAAAGGUUAGUACUGAUACCACGUGUGUUAGUUUAGGGUGAUCACCGUAUUAAUAUUUAGAUGUUUAGUGGAUUUUAAUUUAUGUUUGUCACGAAGAACCUACAAUGUUAAUUUAUUAUUUGUGAGUACAAUGGUUAUAAUAUAUUUCGACAGAUUUUAUUGUUUAUUUACAACCAUAUUGUUAAGGUUUUGGACCUUUUGGUAUAUAUAUAUAUAUUUUGUCAACAGGUUUUGGUAUAUAAUCUUCCAUUUCAAAAUAAAUAUUUAUUCUAUAUUUUAUGGAAUCUGUCUAUAGCAUGGUUAGGAGGAAAUAAUAUAGUUUGUUUAUAACAAUUCAUCUAAGCAAAUUUUAUAGAAGUUGGUCUAAAAAAAACCACUCACGAAAAAAGUCACGAAUUAUGUUUUAAAUUUUUAAUUGAUAAGAUGCUAUCCUUUCAAGGUUUUACCCAAAUGUUUUACAACUAACUUUUAUAAUACAAGUAAACUUGUUUCCACUAAUUAAUACAACAAAUAUUUACUUUUUUUUAGUGUAUUUGUAGCUUUGAAUACAAGGAUUCAUCAUUUUUAUUCUGGUAUGUAAGCAUUUCGAAGGUGGCUUAAAAGGAAAUGCGGUAAUUGUUUGACCCAAAAACGGUGUAUUUGCUGGUGAUGUUUGUUGGAAUCAUAUAAUAAAGAAUCUAAAGUUAAGUAUUAGAUUCUUGAGGUUUAGGAGAAAUCUUCAUAGAAUCAAUAUGAGAAAAAGAACAUCCAAAGCUCUUUAUUGAUCAAAGAUUGCAUUACAAGAAUGAUUUCUACUGUAAAGUGAAUCAAAGAAUGUAUAAAAUCCUUAUAGGAUGUGUUCUAGAUCUAGAUGGAAAAAAUAGUCAUUUCUAAUAAGGAGAUAACUUAUUAUUUAUAGAAGAAAGAUAUCUAGGGUUUCCUAACAAAUUUGGCCUAAUUCAUUGUUUUAAUGGGUUUUGAGAGAUGAUGUAAAUACGAGAGUCUACAACUCCAUGUGGUUUGCCCAUUUCUACUUCGAUUACGGGCUACUUAUUGAGUGACAGUUUCAAGAACCGGCCCUCAAAUGGUUUUACAAGCCCAGAUGUAGUGGCGUUGUGCCCAGAUAACAAGCAGGCUAUGUACUGCCAUCUUCUUUGUGGUCUUUGCCUGAGUGACGAAGUUGUGAAUGUGUCUGCUACCUUUGCUUCCUCUUUGCUUGGUGCAAUCACUUUUCUUGAAAGUCACUGGAAAGAAAUGUGUAGCAAUAUCGAUCUGGUCAUCUUAGCGAGUGGAUCACCGACCUUGGUUGCAGAGACGCUGUUACUAACAUCCUAAGAGGAUGUAACUCAGAAUUAGCAGAUCGGAUUGAAGAAGAAUGCAACAAAAAAUCUUGGGAAGGUAUAAUCACACGUCUUUGGCCUAAAGUAAAAUUCAUUCAAAGCAUUGUUACACGACAAAAUUCUCAAUGCAUUCCAAUGUUAGAGUUUUACUCCAACAAAGUGCCUUUGAUCUCCACGGUCUAUGGAUCUUCUGAAACAAUAUUUGGUAUAAAUAUGAAUCCCUUCUGCAAACCACAAGAUAUAUCUUAUACUUGUAUUCCCACCAUAUCUUACUUUGAGUUCAUACUUGCUGACGAGGGAAACAAAGGUGAAAUUGUUGAUCUUGUGAAUGUCAAGAUUGGGUCCUACUAUGAGCCCGUGAUCACAAAUUAUUACGGCUUGCACAGAUAUAGAAUGGGAGAUAUUCUACAAGUAUCUGGAUUUUACAACAGUGCACCUCAAUUUAGGUUCGUUCGCAGGAAAAGUAUGGUUCUAAGCGUCAACCUCGAAGUGACAACUGAAGAAGCAUUUUAAAGGGGUUAAAUAAUGCAACACUUGUUCUUAAGAAUUCAGAUUUAGGAUUGAUGGGAUUCACAUGCUAUGCUGAUAUCUCCACUCUUCCAGGUCACUACAUUUUUUACUGGGAACUCAAAGCCAAAACCAUCAGUGAUAUUGUUAAACUUGAUAACAAAGUAUUGGUGGAAUGUUGUUGUGUAAUGGAGGAAUCAUUAUGUGCUCUUUAUCGAGAGAUGAGGAGUAAAGAUGGGUCUAUAGGAGCUCUAGAGAUUAGGGUUGUGAAACAGAGAACAUUUAAUUCGCUUAUGGAGCUUGCCAUCUCUCAAGGUGCCAUCUCGCUUCCCCAUCUCAGUACAAGACUCCUAUUUGCAUCAACUCUUCUGAAGCCUUAGCUGUUCUUGAAAGCAAUGUCCUAGCUUGCUUUUUCAGUGGUAAGUCCCCAACUAAUCUCUGAUCAGAUAUGGUCUAUGUGGAUUAUGAUAACCCACGAAAACAAUUGGAUCAUAUAGUUAAGAAUAAUGAAGGGACAAAGCUGUUUGAUGAGAUGAGUUUUGUGUUUAUUAAGUGUGUGGUUUGUGUACUGUCUUCCUUUAAAUCACUAGGGUACCUGUUGUUUCGCGCCAGUUUGUUUGCAGUUCGUAUUCUACGUAUUUGGGUUGGUUGCCAUUUGUAUACUACAUAUUUCGUUUGUUUGAAAUUUGUAUUCUAUGUAUUUGUUUUGAGAGUAUUUAAGAUUGAAGACUUCACAAUU
Long non-coding RNA from Brassica oleracea var. oleracea, 3143 nucleotides. RefSeq lists it as uncharacterized. The record is from RefSeq and is a predicted model, not a curated record. Lineage: Eukaryota; Viridiplantae; Streptophyta; Magnoliopsida; Brassicales; Brassicaceae. The transcript is spliced from 2 exons.